This 384-nucleotide ribosomal RNA is filed under the name uncultured bacterium. RNAcentral's name for it is "bacterial SSU rRNA". It matches the Rfam family "Bacterial small subunit ribosomal RNA", at positions 28 to 408 of the family's 1533-position model. The record is from RNAcentral.
GAUGAACGCUAGCGGCAGGCUUAAUACAUGCAAGUCGAGGGGCAGCGCAGUGUAGCAAUACAUGGGCGGCGACCGGCAAACGGGUGCGGAACACGUACAGAACCUUCCUUCGAGCGGGGAAUAGCCCAGAGAAAUUUGGAUUAAUACCCCAUAGUAUAUUGAGUAGGCAUCUAUUUAAUAUUAAAGAUUUAUCACUUGAAGAUGGCUGUGCGGCUGAUUAGGAGUUGGCGGGGUAACGGCCCACCAAGCCUGCGAUCAGUAACUGGUGUGAGAGCACGACCAGUCACACGGGCACUGAGACACGGGCCCGACUCCUACGGGAGGCAGCAGUAAGGAAUAUUGGUCAAUGGACGCAAGUCUGAACCAGCCAUGCCGCGUGGAGGA